This 468-nucleotide ribosomal RNA is filed under the name uncultured bacterium. Its description in RNAcentral is "SSU rRNA". It matches the Rfam family "Bacterial small subunit ribosomal RNA", at positions 26 to 518 of the family's 1533-position model. The record is from RNAcentral.
AGGACGAACGCUGGCGGCGUGCUUAACACAUGCAAGUCGAGCGGAAAGGCCCUUCGGGGUACUCGAGCGGCGAACGGGUGAGUAACACGUGAGCAACCUGCCCUUAGCUUCGGGAUAGCUCCGGGAAACCGGAAUUAAUACCGGAUAUGACUAUGGCCGACAUCAGCCAUGGUGGAAAGUUUUUCGGCUAGGGAUGGACUCGCGGCCUAUCAGCUAGUUGGUGAGGUAACGGCUCACCAGGGCGACGAUCGGUAGCUGGUCUGAGAGGACGAUCAGCCACACUGGGAUUGAGAACGGCCCAGACUCCUACGGGGGCAGCAGUGAGGAAUUUUCGUCAAUGGGGGCAACCCUGAACGAGCAACGCCGCGUGCAGGAAGAAGGUUUUCGGAUCGUAAACUGCUUUUCUCGGGGAAGAGAACGGACGGUACCCGAGGAAUCAGCCCCGGCUAACUACGUGCCAGCAGCCGC